GCUAAGUAAGGGCGUAUGGGGAAUGCCUAGGCUCUCAGAGGCGAUGAAGGACGUGAUAAGCUGCGAAAAGCUGCGGGGAUCGGCACACACGAUAUGAUCCGCAGGUAUCCGAAUGGGGCAACCCGUUAUAUUGAAGGUAUAACAUCCGCAAGGAGGCAAACCCGGGGAACUGAAACAUCUAAGUACCCGGAGGAAAGGACAUCAAUUGAUACUCCCCUAGUAGCGGCGAGCGAACGGGGACCAGCCGAGCUGUGAGUGUGAAUAGAAUGGCAUGGAAUGGCCAACCAGAGUGGGUGACAGUCCCGUAUAUGAAGCAUGAUCAGACGUAUUAAGUAGGGCGGAACACGUGAAAUUCUGUCUGAAGAUCGGAGGACCACCUUCGAAGGCUAAGUACUCCUUACUGACCGAUAGCGAACCAGUACCGUGAGGGAAAGGUGAAAAGCACCCCGACGAGGGGAGUGAAACAGUACCUGAAACCGAACGCCUACAAUCAGUCGGAGCUUG
This 504-nucleotide ribosomal RNA is filed under the name Ochromonas sp. CCMP1393. RNAcentral describes it as "partial Bacterial large subunit ribosomal RNA". It matches the Rfam family "Bacterial large subunit ribosomal RNA", at positions 1 to 583 of the family's 2925-position model. The record is from RNAcentral. Lineage: Eukaryota; Chrysophyceae; Chromulinales; Chromulinaceae.